GUCCGCGACUCUGUGGCGCAGUGGGUCAGCGCGCCUGGCUGUUGAUCAGAAGCAUGGUGGUUCAAGCCCACCUUGGGACG
This is a non-coding RNA of Podarcis lilfordi (Lilford's wall lizard), 80 nucleotides long. The record is from the annotation of a GenBank genome assembly. NCBI's taxonomy places the organism in Eukaryota, Metazoa, Chordata, Lepidosauria, Squamata, Lacertidae.